GAUGAACGCUAGCUACAGGCUUAACACAUGCAAGUCGAGGGGCAGCAUUAUCGAAGCUUGCUUUGAUAGAUGGCGACCGGCGCACGGGUGAGUAACGCGUAUCCAACCUUCCCAUCACUCAGGGAUAGCCCGCCGAAAGGCGAAUUAAUACCUGAUGGUCUCCUUCGCGGACAUCUAACGAGGAGUAAAGAUUCAUUGGUGAUGGAUGGGGAUGCGUCUGAUUAGCUGGUUGGUGGGGUAACGGCCUACCAAGGCGACGAUCGGUAGCCGGUCUGAGAGGAUGAACGGCCACAUUGGGACUGAGACACGGCCCAGACUCC
RNAcentral lists this ribosomal RNA (320 nucleotides) under uncultured Prevotella sp. RNAcentral describes it as "bacterial SSU rRNA". It matches the Rfam family "Bacterial small subunit ribosomal RNA", at positions 28 to 339 of the family's 1533-position model. Lineage: Bacteria; Pseudomonadati; Bacteroidota; Bacteroidia; Bacteroidales; Prevotellaceae. The record is from RNAcentral.